Ictidomys tridecemlineatus (thirteen-lined ground squirrel) is the source of this 4412-nucleotide non-coding RNA. The record is from RefSeq and is a predicted model, not a curated record. Lineage: Eukaryota; Metazoa; Chordata; Mammalia; Rodentia; Sciuridae.
AGCUGACUCCUUCAGGCACUGUGCUAGAAGCCCCAUGCCAAGAGAUGGAGGACCCUGCCCGAGUGCAUCCCAGCAAGGAGAUGAAAGCCUCACCCAGGUGCUGCAGGAGGUGCCUCUCUACACCUGGUGGCCUGGAGGUGAGAUGGCUGCUUUCUCCCUGCAGGGAGCAAAUGCCUGGCCCAGGAUCGGAUCAAAAGCUGGGGCUCACUGCCCCCAGUGGGCAGUGAGUCAGCGGGUUCCUGAGGCAGCUCUGUCCUGUCCCAGCAUGGCCACCCUCCUGGCUGACCUUGGAGAAUCAGUAUUCCAGCAUCCAUGGCCUUCUAGAAUCUGCUUGGAGGAAAUAAAGAUCAACGCCAUUCUUUACAAUAGCACCUUGGUACCCUCUGAUCCAUAUACCCGGGAUUUAUUUAACUAUCUCACUGCUGCCACAAAACCUGAGGUUCUAUGCCCCCCCCAACCCCCGCCCCCGCGGGAUUGGAUUGCGGAGGCAGGUAAGCCCCCAUCUCCACCGUGUGCUGGGUCUGACUUCCCCUCACUGAGACCAGGUCAUGUUCUCUUUGGGUCUGAUGGGCCGUGGCAGAGGGUCGUGUUUCCUGCCCUGUGGUGCUGGAUGAGAGGACUUUGAGAAGUCAGUGGCUUGUUCAAGUUCUGCUAGGACACGGGACCCAGGGUUCCAACCCAGAUAGACUUCCUCCGAACAGAGUUGCUGGUGAAAUUCCUCACUUCUGUGAUGCCUCUUGGUGUAUUGACUGGCUCAGAUGGCCGUGGGACAACAGGACCUGGACCUAGCCCCUGGGAAAGAGUGCAGGACGGUUGUGAGGAUCAAGCAGGAUAAUGUAUGCUAACCCAUGCUGUGAACGCUGCGUGCUGGGUGCAGAGAAUGGUGGAGGCCCCACAGUGGGUGUGAUGCCACUUUACCAACAGCGACCUUGGAGGUGACCUCUGUGGAAAGUGCCAUGGACCAGCCAAUUGCUGGAAAUUGAACCCAGGGCCUGAGUACUGCCUAGGUCAGCACUCUACCACUGAGUCAAAUCCCCAGCCCUAUUUCAUGAUUUUUAAGGGAUAAAUAAAUUUGAAAAGGGCUAAGCACAGACCAAUGAGGCUAAUAUUUAAUAACCCAAGGCCUAUUAAUUUAACUCUACACAAGUGAGUGCCACUAAAAACAAUCCAGGGUGUUUAAGUUUUCUAAUAGCUGCUUCUUGUUGGACAGAAAGGACACAUACUAGUUUAAUCAUGCAUCAUUUAUGAGGACUUUGACUCUUAUUUGGGUAGGUUAGGUUCAUAAAGAAAAUGUAAGUAAUAGUUGGUGUUUUGAAAUCUUUGAUUGGACAGUUGUUCAAAGGUGUUCAGAAAUAAGUAAAUGAAUGAGUGAAGAAAUCAAUGAAGAAAUUGAGAGAAAGAAAAAUGGGAUAACGAUGAUCAAAUCUUACUUUAGUGAGAUUGAACGUGAGUUUAACUUAGAUUAGAAACAGGGCUCAGUCACGGUUAUGGGUUGGAUAUGUGGUGUCCCCCAAAAGCUCACAUGUUAGACAAUGCAGGAAUGUUCAGAGGUGAAAAGAUUAGCUUAUGAGCACUGUAACUUAAUCAGUGGAAUUAACCCACCUAGGUGGAUUAAUUAUGUGGAUUAACUAUAGGCAGGUAGGGUGUAGCUGGAGGAGGUGGGUCACUGGGUGUGACUUUGGGGUAUACAUUUUGUCCCUGGUAACUGGGGUUCUCUUUGUUUCCUGGUUGUCAUGUCCUGAGCUGCUCGCCUCUGCCACAGCUAUCUGUCACAAUGUCCUGCCUCACCCCGGACCUGCGGCUAAGGAGUCGGCUGACCAUGGAGUGACCUUGAAAACUAUCCAAGGUACCAAAUCUGAUUUAUUUAUUAUCCAUUGUUGAAAACCGUGGCUGUGGUUUCUGUGGCUGAGGAGCAACGGGACUCGGGAAGAAAAAAGAAAUCUAGACUUAUCCUACUUUGGAAAAAAUGCCAAAAAUCAGCAGUUGCAUGAAGUGGUAUUUCAAUCCUGAACUACUGGGACCAGAGCAGAGUGGCUUAUUCCCGAGAAACAAAGCCUGGGUGGUUGGCUUUGUGGGUAACGAACAUAGAGAACAAUAGUGAACACCAGGCAGCUGAUUUAAUCAUUUAAUCAAGAAUUAUUGUCCUGAAUGAGGAGCAGAGAUGCUGAUAAAGCAUUCCCACAUGUGUGGAGAUCCGGGCUGGUACUGCCUUUGGGACCGUCCACAAGAACAUGGAUGAUCUGUGAACACAGUCACCUAUUCAAUCACUGCUUCCUGUGAAGACCUGGCCUUUCCUCUCUUUGGAUAAGAAGAUGUCAACCACCUUGGAUUUGGUCAUUCUCCAUGAUGAAGACCUUGACAGUUGCUUCCAUGGAAUGAAGACCACAGCUGAUUUAUUUAGUCUCGGCUGUCGAAGAUCUUAGCUGUUGCCUUUGUGAGUAAGAAACCUGAUGACUAAAAAUGGAUGCACAGAGAUACGGUCUUUCUCUAGCGAGGAAGGUUUUGGUUGUUAUCCUUUUGAGUAAUGAGGUUAGAAAUCUAUCCUAAACGCCUGACAGCUGGUUCAUCAGCCUCUGGUGAUAGAGGCUUGGAUAUGCGCCAGUGUGACGUGGAGUGCAGAGGCUGACCCCGGGAACUGUCAACAUUCUCCCAUCCGAACACAGGCCCCGGUCAUGAGGUGCUGAGUUAGAGAGUUGUGAUUUUUAUCAUCGAAAAAGGUGUUCCCAAGAUGGUGUUCCCAAGAUGGUGACUGAAUUCUUCUGUAGUCAUGAGGUUUGUGGUCACUGCCAUGUUGUUCACCACAUAGGAACCAAUGUAAGUUGAGUCAAAUUGCUUGUCCUGGAGCGUGUGGUAUUCAAAUAUAUUGGUGAUAUGAUAAAUGGAUUACAUACAAUCUGAACAUAGCAAAUGUGGCUGGAUGACAAAUAUGGCAGGAACAUGAAAUAUUAUAUUGAUUAAUCAUCAUUUAUACAGAUAACAUUGGUUAAGGAGAGAGGCAUGCACUUUGGAGAAAGAUCUUACAGUGGGCAAUGCCCUGUUCCUAAGGAUCUUGUUCUCAGAGAUUUGUGACUCAUAGUCACAUAAAUACUUUCAGUGAGAAGAUGAAUUGGUCACUAAGCAGCGGUAGAUAUUAUUGCAAAAAGAAGAGAUAAAGUUGGAUCAAUGAUGACCACUGGUGGCAUAUGAGUCAUGGAUGAUGACUGCAGGUCUGGAUAUCUGAGGUCCAAUAUAGAUGACACCUAGUAGAUACUGGGUGAUGUUUGGUAUAGAUGUUAGGAAGAGUCAAAGAUGUUUUUCUUUGUCUCUGGAUUCCUUUUUUCUUUUAAAAUAUUUUUAGUUGUACAUGGACACAAUAUCUUUUUUUAAAAUUUUUAAUGUGGUGCUGAGAAUUAAACCCAGUGCCUGACAUGUGCUAGGCAAGUGCUUUACUACUGAGCCACAACCCCAAACCCUGUCUCUGGAUUCUUAAAUGACUAAAUACAAUGAAACAAAUGCAUGGAGUAACAGUGUCUUUAAAAUCUGUUGUACUUUGUACUCUUCGGAAUGAGGGUUCCAAAGAUGACCAGAGUUGCAAGGUCCAUGGAUCUUUCUUGUGUUCUUGGAGAAGAGACCAAUAGUGGACACUCUCAGAUGAUGGAAGCAUUCUUCUCUGGCCCUGUGAUGUAGAGUUCCCUGUGUGUGUUAGGAACAGUGGGUGCUCCCGAGAUGUUGACGGCAUUCUUCUCUGGCUACAAGGUCGGGGGAUCCUGCUUACGUUCACAGUAUAGAGAUUAAUAUGAUGGAAGCAUUCUUCUCUGGCCCUGUGAUGUAGAGUUCCCUGUGUGUGUUAGGAGUAUUGUGAGAAAGAACAGAUGCACUCUAUUUGAUUGAUGGAUUUCUGAAGUUGCCUGUCUUAUUGGGGAACUGAUAGAAAUGUGACCUGCAUGGACCAGUAGAGAUAAGGUGUCAGUUUUGCUUCUGUGGUUUGUUCUGCUUUUCGUUUCCCUGAAGGAGACCCCUGGGCUGUGUUGAGCAUUCUGCCUCCAUUGUGGGUGCAAAGGUUGCCUAUCUGGGUAGGAGCCUGGGCAGCAAGAGUGGACACCCCCCGACUGAUCAAAGCACCUGGCCCCGACGGUGACCUCUGUGGCAGACCCUGGGUGCGGGAGCAUAAAGAUCAACAUGUGGUCGUCAGUUACCAUCUUUGGGAAGUUUGUUUAUUUUGUUUGGAACAUUCAAAGUUAAUAAAAGAAGUACAUUUAAAGUAAAAAGAACAAUUGUUGUCAAAAAAAAAUGGGGGGGGGAUUAACAUGAAACGUUGUGUUGAUGAAUCAUUCUUCUGGCGAUCAGGAUGAUUGAAGUGCGGCCAUGGAUUCUGGAGACAUUUCUGUGGACACUUGAAUCAUCAUAUUUAAUACAUCCGUGAAACACUGAGA